RNAcentral lists this small nuclear RNA (40 nucleotides) under Erinaceus europaeus (western European hedgehog). RNAcentral describes it as "U7 small nuclear RNA". It matches the Rfam family "U7 small nuclear RNA", at positions 1 to 40 of the family's 62-position model. From Rfam's summary of the family: Animal histone pre-mRNAs are spliced by a different mechanism than nuclear pre-mRNAs and self-splicing introns. This processing involves the U7 snRNP, which contains only one RNA species: U7. The 5' end of U7 RNA is thought to base-pair to a conserved spacer element downstream of the cleavage site in histone pre-mRNA. Lineage: Eukaryota; Metazoa; Chordata; Mammalia; Eulipotyphla; Erinaceidae. The record is from Rfam by way of RNAcentral.
CAGUGUUACAGCUCCUUCAGAAUUUGUCUAGCAGGCCUUC